This is a non-coding RNA of Podarcis lilfordi (Lilford's wall lizard), 69 nucleotides long. The record is from the annotation of a GenBank genome assembly. Lineage: Eukaryota; Metazoa; Chordata; Lepidosauria; Squamata; Lacertidae.
GGAUAGCUUAGUUGGCAGAGCAUGAGGCUCUUAAUCUCAGGGUUGUGGGUUCGAGCCCCAUGUUGGGCA